This 763-nucleotide ribosomal RNA is filed under the name uncultured Moraxella sp. RNAcentral's name for it is "bacterial SSU rRNA". It matches the Rfam family "Bacterial small subunit ribosomal RNA", at positions 68 to 830 of the family's 1533-position model. Lineage: Bacteria; Pseudomonadati; Pseudomonadota; Gammaproteobacteria; Moraxellales; Moraxellaceae. The record is from RNAcentral.
AAGUUAGGAAGCUUGCUUCUGAUACUUAGUGGCGGACGGGUGAGUAAUGCUUAGGAAUCUGCCUAGUAGUGGGGGAUAACUUGGGGAAACCCAAGCUAAUACCGCAUACGACCUACGGGUGAAAGGGGGCUUUUAGCUCUCGCUAUUAGAUGAGCCUAAGUCGGAUUAGCUGGUUGGUGGGGUAAAGGCCUACCAAGGCGACGAUCUGUAGCUGGUCUGAGAGGAUGAUCAGCCACACUGGGACUGAGACACGGCCCAGACUCCUACGGGAGGCAGCAGUGGGGAAUAUUGGACAAUGGGCGAAAGCCUGAUCCAGCCAUGCCGCGUGUGUUAAGAAGGCCUUUUGGUUGUAAAGCACUUUAAGUGGGGAGGAAAAGCUUUAUGGUUAAUACCCAUAAGCCCUGACGUUACCCACAGAAUAAGCACCGGCUAACUCUGUGCCAGCAGCCGCGGUAAUACAGAGGGUGCAAGCGUUAAUCGGAAUUACUGGGCGUAAAGCGCGCGUAGGUGGUUAUUUAAGUCAGAUGUGAAAGCCCCGGGCUUAACCUGGGAACUGCAUCUGAUACUGGAUAACUAGAGUAGGUGAGAGGGGAGUAGAAUUCCAGGUGUAGCGGUGAAAUGCGUAGAGAUCUGGAGGAAUACCGAUGGCGAAGGCAGCUCCCUGGCAUCAUACUGACACUGAGGUGCGAAAGCGUGGGUAGCGAACAGGAUUAGAUACCCUGGUAGUCCACGCCGUAAACGUUGGGCGCUAGACGUGGGGGUG